UACGGAGGGUGCAAGCGUUAAUCGGAUUUACUGGGCGUAAAGCGCACGCAGGCGGUCUGUUAAGUCAGAUGUGAAAUCCCCGGGCUCAACCUGGGAAGUGCAUUUGAAACUGGCAAGCUAGAGUCUCGUAGAGGGGGGUAGAAUUCCAGGUGUAGCGGUGAAAUGCGUAGAGAUCUGGAGGAAUACCGGUUGCGAAGGCGGCCCCCUGGACCAAGACUGACGCUCAGGUGCGAAAGCGUGGGGAGCAAACAGG
This 253-nucleotide ribosomal RNA is filed under the name uncultured bacterium. RNAcentral's name for it is "partial 16S ribosomal RNA". It matches the Rfam family "Bacterial small subunit ribosomal RNA", at positions 524 to 776 of the family's 1533-position model. The record is from RNAcentral.